UGGGGAAUAUUGCACAAUGGGGGAAACCCUGAUGCAGCAACGCCGCGUGAAGGAAGAAGGGUUUCGGCUCGUAAACUUCUAUCAACAGGGAAGAAAGAAAUGACGGUACCUGAAUAAGAAGCCCCGGCUAACUACGUGCCAGCAGCCGCGGUAAUACGUAGGGGGCAAGCGUUAUCCGGAAUUACUGGGUGUAAAGGGAGAGUAGGCGGCAAGAUAAGUAAGAUGUGAAAGCCCAGGGCUUAACCUUGGGAUUGCAUUUUAAACUAUCAUGCUUGAGUACAGGAGAGGAAAGCGGAAUUCCUAGUGUAGCGGUGAAAUGCGUAGAUAUUAGGAAGAACACCAGUGGCGAAGGCGGCUUUCUGGACUGAAACUGACGCUGAGGCUCGAAAGCGUGGGGAGCGAACAGGAUUAGAUACCCCCGUAGUCC
Molecule: ribosomal RNA, 427 nt
Filed under: uncultured bacterium
Lineage: Bacteria
Description: bacterial SSU rRNA
Rfam family: Bacterial small subunit ribosomal RNA
Source: RNAcentral